Molecule: ribosomal RNA, 280 nt
Filed under: Coprococcus comes ATCC 27758
Lineage: Bacteria; Bacillati; Bacillota; Clostridia; Lachnospirales; Lachnospiraceae
Description: partial 16S ribosomal RNA
Rfam family: Bacterial small subunit ribosomal RNA
Source: RNAcentral
UAUGUAAUGUGCCAGCCGCCGCGGUAAUACGUAUGGUGCAAGCGUUAUCCGGAUUUACUGGGUGUAAAGGGAGCGUAGACGGCUGUGUAAGUCUGAAGUGAAAGCCCGGGGCUCAACCCCGGGACUGCUUUGGAAACUAUGCAGCUAGAGUGUCGGAGAGGUAAGUGGAAUUCCCAGUGUAGCGGUGAAAUGCGUAGAUAUUGGGAGGAACACCAGUGGCGAAGGCGGCUUACUGGACGAUGACUGACGUUGAGGCUCGAAAGCGUGGGGAGCAAACAGG